Molecule: ribosomal RNA, 309 nt
Filed under: bacterium A5(2012)
Lineage: Bacteria
Description: bacterial SSU rRNA
Rfam family: Bacterial small subunit ribosomal RNA
Source: RNAcentral
GAGUUUGAUCAUGGCUCAGAUUGAACGCUGGCGGCAGGCCUAACACAUGCAAGUCGAGCGGUAACGGAGAGUAGCUUGCUCCUCUGCCGUCGAGCGGCGGACGGGUGAGUAAUGCUUGGGAAUAUGCCUUAUGGUGGGGGACAACAGUUGGAAACGACUGCUAAUACCGCAUGAUGUCUACGGACCAAAGUGGGGGACCUUCGGGCCUCACGCCAUAAGAUUAGCCCAAGUGGGAUUAGCUAGUUGGUGAGGUAAUGGCUCACCAAGGGCGACGAUCCCUAGCAUGGUUUGAGAGGGAUGAUCAUGCCG